UAUGCUUGUGAGGAGAGAGAGCGGUCUUUGGAACAAGAUAGGCUAAUUUUUUAAUUCUCUUUCUGCUGUUGAUAUCCUCUGUGACCUCAACAAAUCACUCAAUUUUUAAUGCAACAGUUUCCUCAUUUUAAGAUGAUUCAAUGAUAGCAUCUACAACAUAAUUCAUUGUAAAUAAUAAGUGAAUCAUAUAUGUAAGUUAUUGUAUAUAACAGUGCCUGGAUAUAGCACCAAGUAUAAUUAUUAUUACUCAUUGCAGCUCAUUAUACAUUAGUAAAUAGUGUGCAAAUAGCUUACAGACUUGAUCUUUGUAAAAUGGAAAUACUAUAUAAGGCUCCUAUAAUAACCUUAAACACUCAUUGUUUGACUCAUUAUAAAAUCAUCUGGGUUGCAGUUAUUAAAACAUAUUGUCUUUAAUAUGAAACGUAGAAAAAUUCCAUUUGGUAACAGUAACAAAAACUGGUUGUGCUUCUCAUUCACAUUUUUUGUCUUUAAAAUUGUGUUUUUCUUUUUAUUACUAAUAUAAUUUUGAUUAAAAACCACAUUUGUAAUCAAUAGGGUACAAUGUGAUCUUUUGAUAUGUGUACAAAAUGUGAAAUAAUACAUCAAGAUAAUUAAAAUGUAUCCUUUCUUAUCUAUCAUUUUUCAUGCUGAGACAUUUGAAAUUGAUUCCUAGUUUUUUUGAAACAUACAUUGUAUUAUUAUUGACUAUAAUGAUCCUAAUGUCACUAUGGUGACAUUACUGAAGUAUGCAUUAUUUUGAGCUCAAAACCUAUUCCUUCUUUUCUUCUAAAACUUUGUACCUUUGGAACAGUCCUUCCCUCUCUUCCAGUACCCUCCUUAUUAAGCCUCCUAUAACUAUCAUGUCUCUCUGCUUCUAUGAAAACAAGCUUGGUUCUAAAUGCUAUGGGUAGUGAAGAUAUGUAUUGACAGUAAUGUUUCCUUCAAACCAUUAAUUACAGGAAAUGCAGAGCCAAAGUUUCUACUCAUCACUCAGAGAUCAUAUUUUUUAAACUAACGUUAAGCAUGCUGCAGUAUUAUGGUUUUUAUAUUUGUUUAUAUCUUUUAUAAUACUAUGGUAUUAUUUUUUUAAAUUAUACAUUACUAUUUCC
RNAcentral lists this long non-coding RNA (1109 nucleotides) under Marmota monax (woodchuck). The record is from RNAcentral. Lineage: Eukaryota; Metazoa; Chordata; Mammalia; Rodentia; Sciuridae.